GACUUGGUCUGAGUUUGAAUCAGAUUGGGUUUCAUAAAUCCAAAAUGAUUUUGGACUUAAUUAAGUUUUGACUUAUUUGGAAACUUAAAUCAGUUUGGAUUCAAACCUAAACCUUGUUGGACUUGGACCAAGUGUUUGACUUGGUCUAAGCAAGCCUCACGCCCCAAGAUAAUCCACGUCCAAGAGAGAUGUGUGUGGGUUUUUUUUGGCAUG
This 213-nucleotide long non-coding RNA is filed under the name Elaeis guineensis (African oil palm). Its description in RNAcentral is "long non-coding RNA (EGUI_LNC062740)". Lineage: Eukaryota; Viridiplantae; Streptophyta; Magnoliopsida; Arecales; Arecaceae. The record is from RNAcentral.